Molecule: ribosomal RNA, 1624 nt
Filed under: Salmonella enterica subsp. enterica serovar Bovismorbificans
Lineage: Bacteria; Pseudomonadati; Pseudomonadota; Gammaproteobacteria; Enterobacterales; Enterobacteriaceae
Description: partial 23S ribosomal RNA
Rfam family: Bacterial large subunit ribosomal RNA
Source: RNAcentral
GAAGGUGGCCUGUGAGGGUUGCUGGAGGUAUCAGAAGUGCGAAUGCUGACAUAAGUAACGAUAAAGCGGGUGAAAAGCCCGCUCGCCGGAAGACCAAGGGUUCCUGUCCAACGUUAAUCGGGGCAGGGUGAGUCGACCCCUAAGGCGAGGCCGAAAGGCGUAGUCGAUGGGAAACGGGUUAAUAUUCCCGUACUUGGUGUUACUGCGAAGGGGGGACGGAGAAGGCUAUGUUGGCCGGGCGACGGUUGUCCCGGUUUAAGCGUGUAGGUGUGUGUUCCAGGUAAAUCCGGUUCACUUUAACACUGAGGCGUGAUGACGAGGCACUACGGUGCUGAAGCAACAAAUGCCCUGCUUCCAGGAAAAGCCUCUAAGCAUCAGGUAACACGAAAUCGUACCCCAAACCGACACAGGUGGUCAGGUAGAGAAUACCAAGGCGCUUGAGAGAACUCGGGUGAAGGAACUAGGCAAAAUGGUGCCGUAACUUCGGGAGAAGGCACGCUGACACGUAGGUGAAGUGAUUUACUCAUGGAGCUGAAGUCAGUCGAAGAUACCAGCUGGCUGCAACUGUUUAUUAAAAACACAGCACUGUGCAAACACGAAAGUGGACGUAUACGGUGUGACGCCUGCCCGGUGCCGGAAGGUUAAUUGAUGGGGUCAGCGCAAGCGAAGCUCCUGAUCGAAGCCCCGGUAAACGGCGGCCGUAACUAUAACGGUCCUAAGGUAGCGAAAUUCCUUGUCGGGUAAGUUCCGACCUGCACGAAUGGCGUAAUGAUGGCCAGGCUGUCUCCACCCGAGACUCAGUGAAAUUGAACUCGCUGUGAAGAUGCAGUGUACCCGCGGCAAGACGGAAAGACCCCGUGAACCUUUACUAUAGCUUGACACUGAACAUUGAGCCUUGAUGUGUAGGAUAGGUGGGAGGCUUUGAAGUGUGGACGCCAGUCUGCAUGGAGCCGACCUUGAAAUACCACCCUUUAAUGUUUGAUGUUCUAACGUGGACCCGUUACCCGGGUUGCGGACAGUGUCUGGUGGGUAGUUUGACUGGGGCGGUCUCCUCCUAAAGAGUAACGGAGGAGCACGAAGGUUGGCUAAUCCUGGUCGGACAUCAGGAGGUUAGUGCAAUGGCAUAAGCCAGCUUGACUGCGAGCGUGACGGCGCGAGCAGGUGCGAAAGCAGGUCAUAGUGAUCCGGUGGUUCUGAAUGGAAGGGCCAUCGCUCAACGGAUAAAAGGUACUCCGGGGAUAACAGGCUGAUACCGCCCAAGAGUUCAUAUCGACGGCGGUGUUUGGCACCUCGAUGUCGGCUCAUCACAUCCUGGGGCUGAAGUAGGUCCCAAGGGUAUGGCUGUUCGCCAUUUAAAGUGGUACGCGAGCUGGGUUUAGAACGUCGUGAGACAGUUCGGUCCCUAUCUGCCGUGGGCGCUGGAGAACUGAGGGGGGCUGCUCCUAGUACGAGAGGACCGGAGUGGACGCAUCACUGGUGUUCGGGUUGUCAUGCCAAUGGCACUGCCCGGUAGCUAAAUGCGGAAGAGAUAAGUGCUGAAAGCAUCUAAGCACGAAACUUGCCCCGAGAUGAGUUCUCCCUGAGACUUAGAGUCUCCUGAAGGAACGUUGAAGACGACGACGUU